ACAGCUAUAUCACAUUGAAAGACUGCUUCUCAUAUGAUCACUGAAGUUAAGCAACAUUGAGACUGCUCAGUACUUAGAUGGGUGACUGCUUGGGAAUCCUAGGUGUC
Acanthosepion pharaonis is the source of this 107-nucleotide non-coding RNA. The record is from the annotation of a GenBank genome assembly. NCBI's taxonomy places the organism in Eukaryota, Metazoa, Mollusca, Cephalopoda, Sepiida, Sepiidae.